This is a long non-coding RNA of Oreochromis aureus, 427 nucleotides long. RefSeq lists it as uncharacterized. The record is from RefSeq and is a predicted model, not a curated record. The transcript is spliced from 4 exons. NCBI's taxonomy places the organism in Eukaryota, Metazoa, Chordata, Actinopteri, Cichliformes, Cichlidae.
AAAUAAUCGAGCAACAGAAGCGAAGUGUUUCAGCCAGAGUCUCACCCUCUGUCUCCCUGAUCCCAGCUUCUGCCUUCAGCCCGAAUCCAGAAUCCACAGAACGCCUGGAGGCAUCAGAGCUGCUGCCUGAGCGGGAGCUCCGGUCACACAGUGGUGGCGGUGAGGGUGAGAGGAGGUUUGCUGGCUCUGAUGCAUCUUCUUACAGUUUUGGAAGAUAAACUAGGGAUGGCAAAACACAGCGCCCCAAUCUUCAUCUCUGACCACACCUUCAGAAUAACUACGGGAAACGCCACGAGGACUCGACGACGAAGAGAUGUCUCUGCAGUGCAGCCACAGGACCCCAGGGCACGCUUCAGGCCGUGGUUUACCCAAAACACCAGAACAGGAAAGUGAUAAACACGCCAACAUACACAAACAUACACAUCUA